RNAcentral lists this ribosomal RNA (460 nucleotides) under uncultured bacterium. RNAcentral's name for it is "partial 16S ribosomal RNA". It matches the Rfam family "Bacterial small subunit ribosomal RNA", at positions 338 to 795 of the family's 1533-position model. The record is from RNAcentral.
CCUACGGGACGCUGCAGUGAGGAAUAUUGGUCAAUGGCCGGAAGGCUGAACCAGCCAUGCCGCGUGAAGGUCAGUGCCCUAUGGGCGUUAAACUUCUUUUGUGCGGGAGCAAUAAUGGUCACGUGUGGCCAGACGAGAGUACCGUACGAAUAAGCAUCGGCUAACUCCGUGCCAGCAGCCGCGGUAAUACGGGGGAUGCAAGCGUUAUCCGGAUUUAUUGGGUUUAAAGGGUGCGUAGGCUGUGAGGUAAGUCAGCGGUGAAAUGCCCCCGCUCAACGGGGUGAAGUGCCAUUGAUACUGCCUGGCUGGAAUGCGGAUGCCGUGGGAGGAAUGUGUGGUGUAGCGGUGAAAUGCAUAGAUAUCACACAGAACACCGAUUGCGAAGGCAUCUCACGAAUCCGCGAUUGACGCUGAUGCACGAAAGCGUGGGUAUCAAACAGGAUUAGAUACCCGAGUAGUC